UUGAAUCCUUAGGAUGUUGCUGGCCUCUCUGGGGGCAUGUGCACUCCGCCUUUCAAUACACCUGUGAACUCAUUGUAGGCGGCAGAUGUAACAAUCUGUUGCCUAUGUUUUUAUAAACCCUAAAUGUAUAUUGAAUGUAAUUAUGGUUGAUAAAACUUUAAUA
This 163-nucleotide unclassified non-coding RNA is filed under the name uncultured Clavariaceae. Its description in RNAcentral is "sequence contains ITS1". Lineage: Eukaryota; Fungi; Basidiomycota; Agaricomycetes; Agaricales; Clavariaceae. The record is from RNAcentral.